CCUACGGGUGGCAGCAGUGAGGAAUAUUGGUCAAUGGCCGAGAGGCUGAACCAGCCAAGUCGCGUGAGGGAAGACGGCCCUACGGGUUGUAAACCUCUUUUGUCGGGGAGCAAAGCGAGUCACGUGUGACUCAUUGAGAGUACCCGAAGAAAAAGCAUCGGCUAACUCCGUGCCAGCAGCCGCGGUAAUACGGAGGAUGCGAGCGUUAUCCGGAUUUAUUGGGUUUAAAGGGUGCGUAGGCGGAAGGUUAAGUCAGCGGUCAAAUGUCGGUGCUCAACACCGGCCUGCCGUUGAAACUGGUCUUCUUGAGUGAGCGAGAAGUAUGCGGAAUGCGUGGUGUAGCGGUGAAAUGCAUAGAUAUCACGCAGAACUCCGAUUGCGAAGGCAGCAUACCGGCGCUCAACUGACGCUGAGGCACGAAAGCGUGGGGAUCGAACAGGAUUAGAUACCCUAGUAGUC
Molecule: ribosomal RNA, 459 nt
Filed under: uncultured bacterium
Lineage: Bacteria
Description: partial 16S ribosomal RNA
Rfam family: Bacterial small subunit ribosomal RNA
Source: RNAcentral